AGGUUACUGCUAUCGGUGUUCGCCUAAGCCAUGCGAGUCAUAUGUUCUUCGUGAACAUGGCGUACUGCUCAGUAACACGUGGAUAACCUGCCCUUGGGUCCGGCAUAACCCCGGGAAACUGGGGAUAAUUCCGGAUAACGCACAUAUGCUGGAAUGCUUUAUGCGUCAAAUGGAUUCGUCCGCCCAAGGAUGGGUCUGUGGCCUAUCAGGUAGUAGUGGGUGUAAUGUACCUACUAGCCUACGACGGGUACGGGUUGUGAGAGCAAGAACCCGGAGAUGGAUUCUGAGACAUGAAUCCAGGCCCUACGGGGCGCAGCAGGCGCGAAAACUUUACAAUGCGGGAAACCGUGAUAAGGGGACACCGAGUGCCAGCAUCAUAUGCUGGCUGUCCGGGUGUGUAAAAUACACCUGUUAGCAAGGGCCGGGCAAGACCGGUGCCAGCCGCCGCGGUAACACCGGCGGCCCGAGUGGUGAUCGUGAUUAUUGGGUCUAAAGGGUCCGUAGCCGGUUUGGUCAGUCCUCCGGGAAAUCUGACGGCUUAACCGUUAGGCUUUCGGGGGAUACUGCCAGACUUGGAACCGGGAGAGGUAAGAGGUACUACAGGGGUAGGAGUGAAAUCUUGUAAUCCCUGUGGGACCACCUGUGGCGAAGGCGUCUUACCAGAACGGGUUCGACGGUGAGGGACGAAAGCUGGGGGCACGAACCGGAUUAGAUACCCGGGUAGUCCCAGCCGUAAACGAUGCUCGCUAGGUGUCAGGCAUGGCGCGACCGUGUCUGGUGCCGCAGGGAAGCCGUGAAGCGAGCCACCUGGGAAGUACGGCCGCAAGGCUGAAACUCAA
Molecule: ribosomal RNA, 839 nt
Filed under: uncultured archaeon
Lineage: Archaea
Description: bacterial SSU rRNA
Rfam family: Archaeal small subunit ribosomal RNA
Source: RNAcentral